This 972-nucleotide ribosomal RNA is filed under the name Pseudomonas fluorescens. RNAcentral's name for it is "bacterial SSU rRNA". It matches the Rfam family "Bacterial small subunit ribosomal RNA", at positions 51 to 1020 of the family's 1533-position model. Lineage: Bacteria; Pseudomonadati; Pseudomonadota; Gammaproteobacteria; Pseudomonadales; Pseudomonadaceae. The record is from RNAcentral.
ACCCUGCAGUCGAGCGGUAGAGAGAAGCUUGCUUCUCUUGAGAGCGGCGGACGGGUGAGUAAUGCCUAGGAAUCUGCCUGGUAGUGGGGGAUAACGUUCGGAAACGAACGCUAAUACCGCAUACGUCCUACGGGAGAAAGCAGGGGACCUUCGGGCCUUGCGCUAUCAGAUGAGCCUAGGUCGGAUUAGCUAGUUGGUGAGGUAAUGGCUCACCAAGGCGACGAUCCGUAACUGGUCUGAGAGGAUGAUCAGUCACACUGGAACUGAGACACGGUCCAGACUCCUACGGGAGGCAGCAGUGGGGAAUAUUGGACAAUGGGCGAAAGCCUGAUCCAGCCAUGCCGCGUGUGUGAAGAAGGUCUUCGGAUUGUAAAGCACUUUAAGUUGGGAGGAAGGGCAUUAACCUAAUACGUUAGUGUUUUGACGUUACCGACAGAAUAAGCACCGGCUAACUCUGUGCCAGCAGCCGCGGUAAUACAGAGGGUGCAAGCGUUAAUCGGAAUUACUGGGCGUAAAGCGCGCGUAGGUGGUUUGUUAAGUUGGAUGUGAAAUCCCCGGGCUCAACCUGGGAACUGCAUUCAAAACUGACUGACUAGAGUAUGGUAGAGGGUGGUGGAAUUUCCUGUGUAGCGGUGAAAUGCGUAGAUAUAGGAAGGAACACCAGUGGCGAAGGCGACCACCUGGACUAAUACUGACACUGAGGUGCGAAAGCGUGGGGAGCAAACAGGAUUAGAUACCCUGGUAGUCCACGCCGUAAACGAUGUCAACUAGCCGUUGGAAGCCUUGAGCUUUUAGUGGCGCAGCUAACGCAUUAAGUUGACCGCCUGGGGAGUACGGCCGCAAGGUUAAAACUCAAAUGAAUUGACGGGGGCCCGCACAAGCGGUGGAGCAUGUGGUUUANUUCGAAGCACCGCGAACCACCUUACCAGGCCUUGACUUCCAAUGAACUUUCUAAAGAAAGAUUGGGCCUUU